CGGCGAGCGAACGGGGAGCAGCCCAGAGCCUGAAUCAGUGUGUGUGUUAGUGGAAGCGUCUGGAAAGGCGCGCGAUACAGGGUGACAGCCCCGUACACAAAAAUGCACAUGCUGUGAGCUCGAUGAGUAGGGCGGGACACGUGGUAUCCUGUCUGAAUAUGGGGGGACCAUCCUCCAAGGCUAAAUACUCCUGACUGACCGAUAGUGAACCAGUACCGUGAGGGAAAGGCGAAAAGAACCCCGGCGAGGGGAGUGAAAAAGAACCUGAAACCGUGUACGUACAAGCAGUGGGAGCACGCUUAGGCGUGUGACUGCGUACCUUUUGUAUAAUGGGUCAGCGACUUAUAUUCUGUAGCAAGGUUAACCGAAUAGGGGAGCCGAAGGGAAACCGAGUCUUAACUGGGCGUUAAGUUGCAGGGUAUAGACCCGAAACCCGGUGAUCUAGCCAUGGGCAGGUUGAAGGUUGGGUAACACUAACUGGAGGACCGAACCGACUAAUGUUGAAAAAUUAGCGGAUGACUUGUGGCUGGGGGUGAAAGGCCAAUCAAACCGGGAGAUAGCUGGUUCUCCCCGAAAGCUAUUUAGGUAGCGCCUCGUGAAUUCAUCUCCGGGGGUAGAGCACUGUUUCGGCAAGGGGGUCAUCCCGACUUACCAACCCGAUGCAAACUGCGAAUACCGGAGAAUGUUAUCACGGGAGA
RNAcentral lists this ribosomal RNA (698 nucleotides) under Escherichia coli. Its description in RNAcentral is "partial 23S ribosomal RNA". It matches the Rfam family "Bacterial large subunit ribosomal RNA", at positions 247 to 984 of the family's 2925-position model. Lineage: Bacteria; Pseudomonadati; Pseudomonadota; Gammaproteobacteria; Enterobacterales; Enterobacteriaceae. The record is from RNAcentral.